UCCGGAGAGGGAGCCUGAGAGAUGGCUACCACAUCCAAGGAAGGCAGCAGGCGCGUAAAUUGCCCGAAUCCUGACACAGGGAGGUAGUGACAAGAAAUAACAAUACAGGGCUACAUCUAGUCUUGUAAUUGGAAUGAGUACAAUUUACAUCUCUUCACGAUGAUCAAUUGGAGGGCAAGUCUGGUGCCAGCAGCCGCGGUUAUUCCAGCUCCAAUAGCGUAUAUUAAAGUUGUUGCAGUUAGAACGCUCGUAGUCGGAUUUCGGGGCGGGCCGACCGGUCUGCCGAUGGGUACGCACUGGUCGGCGCGUCCUUCCUUCCGGAGACCGUGCCUACUCUUAACUGAGCGGGGGCGGGAGACGGAUCGUUUACUUUGAAAAAAUCAGAGUGUUUCAAGCAGGCAGCUCGCUCUUGCAUGGAUUAGCAUGGGAUAAUGAAAUAGGACUUUGGUGCUAUUUUGUUGGUUUCGAACACCGAAGUAAUGAUUAACAGGGACAGUCAGGGGCACUCGUAUUCCGCCGAGAGAGGUGAAAUCCUCAGACCAGCGGAAGACGAACUACUGCGAAAGCAUUUGCCAGGGAUGUUUUCACUGAUCAAGAACGAAAGUUAGGGGAUCGAAGACGAUCAGAUACCGUCGUAGUCUUAACCAUAAACCAUGCCGACUAGGGAUUGGAGGAUGUUCACUGAUUGACUCCUUCAGCACCUUACGGGAAACUAAAGUCUUUGGGUUCCGGGGGGAGUAUGGUCGCAAGGCUGAAACUUAAAGGAAUUGACGGAAGGGCACCACCAGGUGUGGAGCCUGCGGCUUAAUUUGAC
RNAcentral lists this ribosomal RNA (814 nucleotides) under uncultured eukaryote. RNAcentral's name for it is "SSU rRNA". It matches the Rfam family "Eukaryotic small subunit ribosomal RNA", at positions 382 to 1199 of the family's 1831-position model. The record is from RNAcentral.